This 252-nucleotide ribosomal RNA is filed under the name uncultured bacterium. RNAcentral's name for it is "partial 16S ribosomal RNA". It matches the Rfam family "Bacterial small subunit ribosomal RNA", at positions 524 to 776 of the family's 1533-position model. The record is from RNAcentral.
UACGGAGGAUGCGAGCGUUAUCCGGAUUUAUUGGGUUUAAAGGGUGCGUAGGCGGACGCUUAAGUCAGCGGUAAAAUUGCGAGGCUCAACCUCGUCGAGCCGUUGAAACUGGGUGCCUUGAGUGGGCGAGAAGUACGCGGAAUGCGUGGUGUAGCGGUGAAAUGCAUAGAUAUCACGCAGAACUCCGAUUGCGAAGGCAGCGUACCGGCGCCCUACUGACGCUGAAGCACGAAGGCGUGGGUAUCGAACAGG